GUGGUGCUUUUCAAGUGUUAUUGGUUUGAUCCCAUACAAGGAGUCAGAGUUGAUGCAAGAUAUGAUAUCAUUGAGGUUAAUCACAAGUCGAAAUUGAAUGCAUAUUAUAUCCUGCUGAGGUUUACGAUGAUGAAUCAACAGAGACGCGAUCAAACGAUGACAAUUAUUAUCAAGAUGAAGAAGCAAGAAUAUCAUAUAUUCCUCCUCAUUUGAAUAACAAUGUUGAUGAAGUCCUAAUCUUUUCAGAUCAUG
Molecule: long non-coding RNA, 252 nt
Filed under: Elaeis guineensis (African oil palm)
Lineage: Eukaryota; Viridiplantae; Streptophyta; Magnoliopsida; Arecales; Arecaceae
Description: long non-coding RNA (EGUI_LNC034245)
Source: RNAcentral